RNAcentral lists this unclassified non-coding RNA (513 nucleotides) under Hevea brasiliensis (rubber tree). The record is from RNAcentral. Lineage: Eukaryota; Viridiplantae; Streptophyta; Magnoliopsida; Malpighiales; Euphorbiaceae.
GCAUGUCAAGUUAGCAUAGGGAAUAUUCAGUGGAACAGAAUUCAACCUCACAUGAUCACAACAAGAAUCGUCACUAAAACUGGAAGGAUGAUAGUGUUUCAAUAUUCAAGGAAUGAAUAUCAACAUCAUAACAUUUCUUGAGAAGUUAAGUAUCAGAAAAAGGUUCUUUGAAGUAGGCUUAGUUUGUUUUGAAGAAAAUAACUUAGCUAUGGAAAAUAUUCGCUGAUCAACAUUUUUGAGAAAAAUAAAUUGUUUUUUGCUGAUUUGGUUGCAACACUGGAAAUUAUGUUCUGUUGUUUGAAGUACAGCUUUGAACAUGAACUUUAAGCUCCAGAGCCAUCACCACCAAUUCUAGUGUCCAUAAAUUCUUACUUGUCCGCAAAAGACAAGAUGAAAUAGCUCAAUUUGUGGUUAUUUUCAACAACAUACUUGCUGGUGGAGAGGUCGAACCACACAGCUAAUUGGACAAAUAAACUGCCGGUCAUUCAUAUUCUCCACAAGUACAAAUUUACA